UUUUUUUUUUUUUUUAAUUACUGGAUGAUGAAUGUGGGGUUUUUCACAGGAAACUUGAGGAUUAAUCUUAGAUUUUAGUAUUGUUUAUGCUGUUCUUGAUAUGCAAUUUGUUGCAGGGAAAUUAGUAGAAGAAAAAAAGUUUAAUAAAUUUGGUGCUGAAUUAGAAACAUAAGCUAAUUCACUCGAAAUGUUAUGGGUAUAUACCCAAAUCGAUUUAUAUCUGGAUAAAUACACAUGAGGC
Molecule: unclassified non-coding RNA, 241 nt
Filed under: Hevea brasiliensis (rubber tree)
Lineage: Eukaryota; Viridiplantae; Streptophyta; Magnoliopsida; Malpighiales; Euphorbiaceae
Source: RNAcentral